GAUGAACGCUAGCUACAGGCUUAACACAUGCAAGUCGAGGGGCAGCAUGACCUAGCAAUAGGUUGAUGGCGACCGGCGCACGGGUGAGUAACACGUAUCCAACCUGCCGAUUAUUCCGGGAUAGCCUUUCGAAAGAAAGAUUAAUACUGGAUAGCAUGACGAGAGGGCAUCUUCUUGUUAUUAAAGAAUUUCGAUAAUCGAUGGGGAUGCGUUCCAUUAGUUUGUUGGCGGGGUAACGGCCCACCAAGACAUCGAUGGAUAGGGGUUCUGAGAGGAAGGUCCCCCACAUUGGAACUGAGACACGGUCCAAACUGCUACGGGAGGCAGCAGUGAGGAAUAUUGGUCAAUGGACGAGAGUCUGAACCAGCCAAGUAGCGUGAAGGAUGACUGCCCUAGGGGUUGUAAACUUCUUUUAUAUGGGAAUAAAGUGGGCCACGUGUGGCUUUUUGUAUGUACCAUACGAAUAAGGAUCGGCUAACUCCGUG
This 485-nucleotide ribosomal RNA is filed under the name uncultured bacterium. Its description in RNAcentral is "partial 16S ribosomal RNA". It matches the Rfam family "Bacterial small subunit ribosomal RNA", at positions 28 to 507 of the family's 1533-position model. The record is from RNAcentral.